GCACUAGCUUCAGCAGCACCUAUGCAAAAAUUGGAAUGAUACAGAGAAAAUUAGCAUGGCCCCUGCGCAAGGAAAUACAAAAGUCUACGACUAACAACCAUAACUC
This is a small nuclear RNA of Capra hircus (goat), 106 nucleotides long. The record is from Ensembl. NCBI's taxonomy places the organism in Eukaryota, Metazoa, Chordata, Mammalia, Artiodactyla, Bovidae.